Molecule: long non-coding RNA, 652 nt
Filed under: Numida meleagris (helmeted guineafowl)
Lineage: Eukaryota; Metazoa; Chordata; Aves; Galliformes; Numididae
Description: lncRNA (ENSNMEG00000002129.1)
Source: RNAcentral
AUCUACUUUAGGCCACUUCUAAAUGGAAAUUAGAGACUAACCUCUUCAACCAAUUCAGUGGGAAUAAGGAAAUGGAAUAAGAACUGUGGAAUUAUCAUUAAUAAGGAAGAGCAGAAUGACGCUUACAAGACCCCUAAUACUAGGACUGCUUUUUGCAUAGGUUACUGAUUUCAUUGUUCUAAUUUCUGAUAUUUUUCCUCUUUUGUCUGGCUAGGAUGAACAGACAGAACACGGAGGAGCUGAGGCAGUUGAAAACUAAAUCUACCUCCUUAUGUGUGUGCUGAAAUGACCCAGUGGGGACCCAUACCUGUUCUCAGCUUUGCUCCGGUCUACCCUAAUUAGCACUGGAUUGAUUCAGUGUCUGGUUGGCUUUUCACAGCAAGCGUCUUGCAGUCCUGCUCGGUGCUACACCCGCUCAGCCCAUAUCUGGGAAUGAGGACCCAGGCGGAGAAAUACCUGCCUUACAGCCUCUGUCAGGACUCAGAUCAGGUUGAAGCACCAUCAGUGUCAAAAAUACAGUUUUCUGAUGUAUUAACUUGAAGAUCUGAACAACAGAAUGUUGAUGAUAAUAUAUCUCACAAUGGCUUAUUGAGUCAAGUGCAAGAUAAUUUCAGGUAAUAAAUAUUCAAACCUCAUCUAAUUCUGGAUUGAG